GAUGAACGCUGGCGGCGUGCUUAACACAUGCAAGUCGAACGGGAAAUAUUUCAUUGAGACUUCGGUGGAUUUGAUUUAUUUCUAGUGGCGGACGGGUGAGUAACGCGUGGGUAACCUGCCUUAUACAGGGGGAUAACAGUCAGAAAUGGCUGCUAAUACCGCAUAAGCGCACAGAGCUGCAUGGCCCAGUGCGAAAAACUCCGGUGGUAUAAGAUGGACCCGCGUUGGAUUAGCUUGUUGGUGAGGUAACGGCCCACCAAGGCGACGAUCCAUAGCCGGCCUGAGAGGGUGAACGGCCACAUUGGGACUGAGACACGGCCCAGACUCCUACGGGAGGCAGCAGUGGGGAAUAUUGCACAAUGGGGGAAACCUUGAUGCAGCGACGCCGCGUGAAGGAAGAAGUAUCUCGGUAUGUAAACUUCUAUCAGCAGGGAAGAUAGUGACGGUACCUGACUAAGAAGCCCCGGCUAACUACGUGCCAGCCGCCGCAGUAA
RNAcentral lists this ribosomal RNA (494 nucleotides) under uncultured bacterium. Its description in RNAcentral is "partial 16S ribosomal RNA". It matches the Rfam family "Bacterial small subunit ribosomal RNA", at positions 28 to 523 of the family's 1533-position model. The record is from RNAcentral.